RNA transcript from Dama dama (fallow deer), 2076 nucleotides. It is a transcript of the gene named ATPase H+ transporting V1 subunit G3, with no coding region annotated. The record is from RefSeq and is a predicted model, not a curated record. The transcript is spliced from 4 exons. Lineage: Eukaryota; Metazoa; Chordata; Mammalia; Artiodactyla; Cervidae.
CUCUCAUUUAUAAGCUCCUGUGAUCACUCUGUUUAUAGAAUGAGAUUGGUAUUCUAAGGUUUUAUUUAUUACUCAUAGCUUUACUAUAAUUAUGCUAAUUUUCUACUUUGAGCAAAGAGGUAUUCUUAAAGGGAUGUGUAUCGGUCUUAUGUUUGGGUAGUUCUUUGCCAUGAGGGCCUUUCCUGAGCACCGUACCAUGUUCAGCCGCAUUCCUGGCCUCUGAACACUGGAUGCCAGCAAGACUUCCCAGUUGCAACAACCAAAAAUGUCUCCAAAUGUCCUGGGUGUAGGAGGUCGGGGGCAGAUGGAGGGGGGGUAAAUUUGCCCCCAGUUGACAACAUCCACUAGAUUGGGCGUUAGGAAUUUUAGAAAAUAAAUAAAAUACGGAAGAAACAGAAGACUCUGACCUAGCAUUUGGAUUCGCCUCCGCUGACGGCGGGCUUUCUCCUCUGUCCCCGCCGCGCGGAAGCGUGGUCCCCCGACGGGCGCGGAGGGAUGCUGUGUCGUGCGGCCAGCGGGGCUGCAGGGACUCUUGCAUCUCCCCGGCCGCGCUCUGCGGAUGAAACCCGCACAGGAGUUGUCUCCCCCGGGCUCUUCUGGGGUCCGUGGAAAAAUCUCCAUCUCUCACACAGAUGAAUUGCAGAAACCGGCAAGCUUUUCAAGUGCGGAAGAAUGGGCUUUGUCGAACCCGAAGUGAUUUUCAAUGAAAGCGCACAUUUACAUCGGUCGGUGCCGCCCUCCUGGGGUGUGCGGGGCCGGGCCCCCGCGCGGGGUGGCCCUCCCACCAGGCCUGUGGCCCCGGCCCGCCCGUGGUCAGUUUUGAUGUGGGCUUGGGGGUCCUGCUCGGAGCGGGCUCCGCCCGGGGCCGCUCGUCCUGACAGGAAACGUUAACAAGCGCGCGCACUGCGCACGGGCGUCUCCUGCAGCGAUCCUGACCCGAGGCCACGGAUUCGGCAGUGAGUUUACGGCUUCAUAGCAUGGUUUUAAUUUAGUCACCUCAAAGAUUUGCGUUCCUCGGACUUGCAAGCCGCCCGCCCGCUCCCCUCCCCGGAGCGCCCCCUCGCCGCCCCCCGCCCCCAGAGGAAGUCUCUCUUGUAAAGACCGCGGCGGCCACUGGGGAAGCUGAGCAGCAAAGGCAGAGCGCGCGAGGCAGCGUGUGCGAUCUUAGCUCCUCCACCGGGGAUCAAACUCCUGCCCUCUGCAGUGGAAGCUCAGAGUCCUAACCACCGGAGCACCAGGUGUCCAGUGUAAUAAUUUGGUAUUUGCCUGUACUAUGAAAUGAUUAUCACAGUAAGUCUAGCUAAGACGACUGCAGCGUGUCAGGGUGCAUUCUCCAGAACGAUUGAAAAAGCUCUUGGAAGGUGAGUUUCUUCAAUGCAUCAAGUUGACAAGUGAGGAGCUGGUUUGAAAGUGAACACAAGUUCCAAAGCCUCAGGCAGCAAGCAAGCUGUACUCCAAGGCUGCUCUUCUAUCGGGGGCCUGUGGAUGCCUGAGCUGGCUAACCUGCUAAGAGGAUUCCGUGUGGUCAGUGGAGGACGUUUUCUCUGACCAAGAGUCCAGAGCCACACCCUGUCUGUCCAGCUCACCACUGUUGUUUUCUGAGCUUAAUCGACUCAACAUCACUUGGUACCUCUGCCUCUGGUGACACAGGACGUCUGGAUUUUCAAGAUCCAAAAUUCACUUUUCUAUUAACUUUGCUGUCAUUCCGCAAAGCUCCCUAGGCCCUGGCAUGUCAGGAUAUUCAAUAAUGAACAUUUCAUAACAAAGAACAAAUUAAAAUUUCAUCUUCAUCAAUUGCAGUGAUUACAUACACAUAUUUUUUGGAUUUAGAUUUUCAUAUAUUCUUUAGUCAUGACAACUAUUAUAACCAAAUAUCAGAAUUGCUUUAUCAUAAAGGUUUUUGACAAUUGUGAAGCAUUUCCGUAUUUUUCAUGUAUGAAAAUGUUCUUAUACAUCUUCUUUGUGAAACCAAAACAGUUUUGAUAUUUAACUUUACAUAUUAAUAAGAUUUCAAAGAAAUUAAAAUAUUUUGGCUCAUUCACAAAAUGUUUUAUAAAUUGUUAUUCACUUGCUCUU